Molecule: ribosomal RNA, 305 nt
Filed under: uncultured bacterium
Lineage: Bacteria
Description: bacterial SSU rRNA
Rfam family: Bacterial small subunit ribosomal RNA
Source: RNAcentral
UCCUACGGGGGGCAGCAGUGAGGAAUAUUGGUCAAUGGUCGGGAGACUGAACCAGCCAAGCCGCGUGAGGGAUGAAGGUACAGAGUAUCGUAAACCUCUUUUGUCAGGGAACAAAGGCGGGGACGUGUCCCCGGAUGAGUGUACCUGAAGAAAAAGCAUCGGCUAACUCCGUGCCAGCAGCCGCGGUAAUACGGAGGAUGCGAGCGUUAUCCGGAUUUAUUGGGUUUAAAGGGUGCGCAGGCGGUCUGUUAAGUCCGCGGUCAAAGCCCGGGGCUCAACCCCGGCCCGCCGUUGAAACUGGCAGG